This 253-nucleotide ribosomal RNA is filed under the name uncultured bacterium. Its description in RNAcentral is "partial 16S ribosomal RNA". It matches the Rfam family "Archaeal small subunit ribosomal RNA", at positions 474 to 727 of the family's 1478-position model. The record is from RNAcentral.
UACCAGCACCCCGAGUGGUCGGGACGAUUAUUGGGCCUAAAGCAUCCGUAGCCGGUCCUGCAAGUCUUCCGUUAAAUCCACCUGCUCAACAGUUGGGCUGCGGAGGAUACUACAGCGCUAGGAGGCGGGAGAGGCAAGCGGUACUCAGUGGGUAGGGGUAAAAUCCAUUGAUCCAUUGAAGACCACCAGUGGCGAAGGCGGCUUGCCAGAACGCGCUCGACGGUGAGGGAUGAAAGCUGGGGGAGCAAACCGG